Molecule: ribosomal RNA, 253 nt
Filed under: uncultured bacterium
Lineage: Bacteria
Description: partial 16S ribosomal RNA
Rfam family: Bacterial small subunit ribosomal RNA
Source: RNAcentral
UACGUAGGUGACCAGCGUUGUCCGGAUUUACUGGGCGUAAAGAGCGCGCAGGCGGUCGUUCAAGUCGCGUGUGAAAGCCCCCGGCUCAACUGGGGAGGGUCACGCGAUACUGAUCGACUCGAAGGCAGGAGAGGGUAGUGGAAUUCCUGGUGUAGCGGUGAAAUGCGCAGAUAUCAGGAGGAACACCAAUUGCGAAGGCAGCUCGCUGGGACGUUACUGACGCUGAGACGCGAAAGCGUGGGGAGCAAACAGG